Molecule: ribosomal RNA, 799 nt
Filed under: uncultured bacterium
Lineage: Bacteria
Description: bacterial SSU rRNA
Rfam family: Bacterial small subunit ribosomal RNA
Source: RNAcentral
GCUUGCCUAGAUGAUUUUAGUGCUUGCACUAAAUGAAACUAUAUACAAGCGAGCGGCGGACGGGUGAGUAACACGUGGGUAACCUGCCCAAGAGACUGGGAUAACACCUGGAAACAGAUGCUAAUACCGGAUAACAACACUAGACGCAUGUCUAGAGUUUGAAAGAUGGUUCUGCUAUCACUCUUGGAUGGACCUGCGGUGCAUUAGCUAGUUGGUAAGGUAACGGCUUACCAAGGCAAUGAUGCAUAGCCGAGUUGAGAGACUGAUCGGCCACAUUGGGACUGAGACACGGCCCAAACUCCUACGGGAGGCAGCAGUAGGGAAUCUUCCACAAUGGACGAAAGUCUGAUGGAGCAACGCCGCGUGAGUGAAGAAGGGUUUCGGCUCGUAAAGCUCUGUUGGUAGUGAAGAAAGAUAGAGGUAGUAACUGGCCUUUAUUUGACGGUAAUUACUUAGAAAGUCACGGCUAACUACGUGCCAGCAGCCGCGGUAAUACGUAGGUGGCAAGCGUUGUCCGGAUUUAUUGGGCGUAAAGCGAGUGCAGGCGGUUCAAUAAGUCUGAUGUGAAAGCCUUCGGCUCAACCGGAGAAUUGCAUCAGAAACUGUUGAACUUGAGUGCAGAAGAGGAGAGUGGAACUCCAUGUGUAGCGGUGGAAUGCGUAGAUAUAUGGAAGAACACCAGUGGCGAAGGCGGCUCUCUGGUCUGCAACUGACGCUGAGGCUCGAAAGCAUGGGUAGCGAACAGGAUUAGAUACCCUGGUAGUCCAUGCCGUAAACGAUGAGUGCUAAGUGUUGGGAG